Molecule: ribosomal RNA, 442 nt
Filed under: uncultured bacterium
Lineage: Bacteria
Description: partial 16S ribosomal RNA
Rfam family: Bacterial small subunit ribosomal RNA
Source: RNAcentral
CCUACGGGGGGCAGCAGUGGAGGAUAUUGGGCAAUGGGGGCAAGCCUGACCCAGCAACGCCGCGUGAAGGAAGAAGGCUUUCGGGAUGUAAACUUCUGUUGACAGGGAAGAGAAGAAGACGGGACCUGUCGAAUAAGCCACGGCCAACUACGUGCCAGCAGCCGGGGUAAUACGUAGGGGGCAAGCGUUGUCCGGAUUUACUGGGUGUAAAGGGCGGGUAGGCGGGUUGAGAAGUCAGAUGUGAAAUCCUGCGGCUUAACCGCAGAACUGCAUUUGAAACUGUUGAUCUUGAGUACUGGAGAGGCAGGCGGAAUUCCUAGUGUAGCGGUGAAAUGCGUAGAUAUUAGGAGGAACACCAGUGGCGAAGGCGGUCUGCUGGACAGCAACUGACGGUGAGGCGCGAAAGCGUGGGGAGCAAACAGGAUUAGAUACCCGGGUAGUC